RNAcentral lists this long non-coding RNA (466 nucleotides) under Daucus carota (carrot). RNAcentral describes it as "long non-coding RNA (DCAR_LNC007088)". Lineage: Eukaryota; Viridiplantae; Streptophyta; Magnoliopsida; Apiales; Apiaceae. The record is from RNAcentral.
AGUUGCAUUCAUGCAUUGCAUUAGUAGUAUUUGUGUGUGUCUAUGCUUGAGGACAAGCAUCGGUUUAAGUUUGGGGGUGUGAUAAGUGGAUUUUAUAUCCACUUGGAAUGCCUUCGUUUCGACUUAAAUUGAUGGUUUGGCCUCAAGUAUGUGGUGUUUUUGAUGUGUUCUUGUGGUGUUGUGUAGGUUUCCUAGGAGGAGGAUAAAGGGUGGAUUAAAGGCUAAAAGGUGAAAGAAACGGCGUAAGGAUCGAGCGAGCAAGGAAGGAGAAAAGGGAAGGAAGGUUCCAAGAGCGUUCGGGGCUGCCCAAAUGGGGUCUCCACCCCAUUUACGGGGUCUCCACCCCGUUCUGAAGAAGAAAAAUCUGCCAAGAUGGGGUCUCCACCCCACUGAUGGGGUCUCCACCCCACUUCAGCAGAAUAGAGGCUGCCAUGACAGGGUCUCCACCCCACUGACGGGGUCUCCA